CGUCCACAUUGCGCCUAUUGCAACAAUGAUGGUCAUCUUGAGUCUCAGUGCUACACGAAGAAGAAACACCUGCGCAAGGCUCGAUCAUCAUCUUCCGGGACUUCGUCAUCUACCUCGACAGCUUCAGCCAUUGCUUUGACUGAGCAGGAUAUUCUGAGACUUAAGCGUCUGCUCGCGGCUUCAGGUUCUUCCUCGACGGGUACUGCCGGUUCUGUGACUGAUGCUUCCCGCACUGAGCAAUCACCCUCUACACAGUCAGGACCGUCACACGCACACUCUGGUUGGGGCUGGCCCUCGCCGCCGUGAUUCUCAGGGUCUUUGGGAGUUGGACUGGCUUCAUGUUCCUUCUGCCGCCACCACCAUCGCCAGUUCUUCCGCUUCUGUCGCCUCCGUCACUGGUUCCUUCCAGCAGUGGCAUCAUCGACUUGGUCAUCUGUGUGGUUCUCGGUUGUCUUCUUUAGUUCGUCGAGGCCUUCUGGGGUCUGUCUCAGGAGAUGUCUCUUUAGAGUGUCAGGGUUGUCAUCUUGGCAAGCAGAUUCAGUUACCAUAUUCACAUAGUGAGUCAGUGUCUAAGCGUCCUUUCGAUUUAGUCCAUUCUGAUGUAUGGGGUCCGGCCCCUUUCGCUUCGAAAGGUGGUCAUAAAUACUAUAUUAUUUUCAUAGAUGAUUUCUCUCGUUACACAUGGCUUUA
Triticum urartu is the source of this 690-nucleotide RNA transcript. RefSeq lists it as uncharacterized. Lineage: Eukaryota; Viridiplantae; Streptophyta; Magnoliopsida; Poales; Poaceae. The record is from RefSeq and is a predicted model, not a curated record.